This 500-nucleotide ribosomal RNA is filed under the name uncultured bacterium. RNAcentral's name for it is "partial 16S ribosomal RNA". It matches the Rfam family "Bacterial small subunit ribosomal RNA", at positions 30 to 523 of the family's 1533-position model. The record is from RNAcentral.
ACUGAACGCUGGCGGAAUGCUUUACACAUGCAAGUCGAACGGCAGCACGGACUUCGGUCUGGUGGCGAGUGGCGAACGGGUGAGUAAUACAUCGGAACGUGCCCAGUCGUGGGGGAUAACGUAGCGAAAGCUACGCUAAUACCGCAUACGAUCUACGGAUGAAAGCGGGGGAUCGCAAGACCUCGCGCGAUUGGAGCGGCAGAUGGCAGAUUAGGUAGUUGGUAGGGUAAAGGCCUACCAAGCCGACGAUCUGUAGCUGGUCUGAGAGGAUGAUCAGCCACACUGGGACUGAGACACGGCCCAGACUCCUACGGGAGGCAGCAGUGGGGAAUUUUGGACAAUGGACGCAAGUCUGAUCCAGCCAUUCCGCGUGCAGGAUGAAGGCCCUCGGGUUGUAAACUGCUUUUGUACAGAACGAAAAGGCUCUGGUUAAUACCUGGGGCUCAUGACGGUACUGUAAGAAUAAGCACCGGCUAACUACGUGCCAGCAGCCGCGGUAA